RNAcentral lists this long non-coding RNA (2437 nucleotides) under Pectinophora gossypiella (pink bollworm). RNAcentral describes it as "uncharacterized LOC126368249". Lineage: Eukaryota; Metazoa; Arthropoda; Insecta; Lepidoptera; Gelechiidae. The record is from RNAcentral.
GGCCCUGUUUUAUAAAGCUGACAAUCCGACAAGUCGACAUAUGUCAAAAAGUGACAAUCCUAAAAUUUUUCUGUUUAAUAAAACUGACAGGCGACAAAUUUGUCACGGUGGAAAAUUUACAAAUAUGUCGAAUUGUCGCGACAAUUCGACAUAUUUCUGUUUAAUAAAACUUUUUGGGCGACAGGUGACAGGUGACAAUUUGUCGUGAAAAACUUGUCAAAUCAGCUUUAUUAAACAGAAAAUUGUCACGACAUAUUGACAUAUUUGUAGAAUUGUCCGACAAUUCUGACAGGAGAGUUACCCUCUGUCGCGAAACUAUAUUUUGAAUUUUAAAGGAGUAAGAAAGUGUUUAUAAAACACGCAUUACAAAAAAUGGUACUAUCAUCGAGCAGUGAAAGUCAAUUGGGCACUAAACUUCCCAAACAGUAUGUUUCUAUUUUCAUAGAUAAUCCCCAAAAUACUUAGUUUCUUGUGCAUUUCCAUCACACGCGAUCAAAACAAACAAUCGAAGUUGCACUAGUGAUUGAUUCUUUCUUUUACUUUGUUAAUAUUUUUUCUAUUUUACCCUCAUUUAGCUUCAUAAAACAUUAUUAUUUACAAAUAUGUCAAAAUUCGACAUAAUUGUCACGACAAUCCCACAAUUGUGGUGACGUAAAUUUGACUGUGGUUUUUUGACAUAUGUCGAGUUUUAUUAAACGCUUUUUUAAAUGACAAAUAUGUCACGUUUUCACGGUCGAUUUUUGACAUAAUUGUUACCUUUAUAAAACAGCCUAAGCGCGACAAUUCUACAAUUUUGUCAUUUUUUGACAGAUAUGUCGAAUUGUCAGCUUUAUAAAACAGGGCCCAGGAAGAAAAGAAAAUAGCCAACAACUUCUGUCGUUUCAUCGAUAUUAAAUCCAAAAGUGUCGACUGGAUUUACAUGAAAAGUCAGUUCAAGAAGACGAGAUGAAAAAUUUAAAAGAAAAGCUGAACAAGUCCCGCCUCAAGAUCAAACGACUUAACCCUUUACCGCAUACAGACCCAUAUUUGGUACACGUCACUUACUGAUUGAAAUAUUCGGAUACAUUUCACCUUUCUUGCAAGACAUUUAUUAUUUGUAUAGAGUAUCGUAUAUCCGAACACAUGAUCACAAUAGUUUUUCCAAUCAUACCCCCAUCUUGCGUAUUUUUCAGUUAGUAGUUGAAAGUUCGGAAUAAAGUGCGUUUUUGAGAUUUCGGAUAGCAAAAAGAAAUAUAUCUGUGAAAUUUAUGGAGUAAUAAAUCUUCUUUUUGAUAAUUUUUGAAGAAGAACAUUCCUUUUGCGUAAAACCAGCAAAAAAAUUAUGUAAGCUCAACUAAAAGACAGGUUUUUAUCCAUCCAAACAUUGUUCCAAAUUUGGGACACCAUGCACUUAUGGUAAUUUUCCCUUGGCAAAUUUGGUACAGUAUGCAAUAAGGUAGUUUUUUGUCUUUGGUCAAAUUUGGUACAGUAUGCAGUAAGAUAGAGCAGACAUUUUAGGUGUUUCAAAAAUAUUUGCUACAACUUUAGGUGUCCCUAUUUUAAAAGUUUUUAAGUUUUAUGAACAUAAUCACCACAUGUGGUGGCAGGUAGAAUAUAUCAAGCGACGUCGCCGACUUGAAUUACCUCCACUAGAAGUAGUUCUAGAUGGCAUUGGACAUUGGCCAAUAUGGACUGACGACCAAUGUCCGAGAUGUAAAAGCGAAGGAUGUUCUCAAAAAUCACACGUAAACUGUAGCAAAUUUAUGUUUUAAAAAAACAUAAGAUAGAAACUCCUUUCAAAGUUUUCAUACACAAUGAUGCACAAAUUUACAGACAAUUCUCUCAACACAUAAUAAUCUCGUUAUUAGGUACUUACUUAAUAAACGGCAUUUUUUAAUACUUUAGUUUCUAUUAAGUUUUUAAAAAUAAAGUUGAUUUUUGUAAAAGAAAUAUUAUCUGGCUAUUUUUCAUUUCAUUUUUCAAACAAAUACUUUGCAAAAACAAUGCAACAGACAUACAUAAAUUUUUAUUACGAAAUAUAUAUAUAUAAAUAAGCAGUUUUUUUUACAUGAAUGCAUAUUGUAUCAUAUUUGGCCAGUCAACUUAAUACUACGUUACUGCAUGUUGUACCAAAUAUGGUACACUGAUAUUAUUGGGAUUUUUCUCAGCUUUCCUAGUGUAUUUAAUUUUUUUCUUAUUUUUCCUAUGUUCUAAAAAGUACAUUUUACCUAGUAAAUUAAUUUGAGCUUAAUCAAAAAAUCCAUGCGGUAAAGGGUUAAUGAAAAAAAAAACAAUGUGACAGGGUGUCACAAAGACAGUUUCUAAGCAAAUUGACACUGUUUAGAAAUUAAUAAAUUUGUAUUUAUUGUAAAUAUAAUGUACAUAAUUAAUAACGUGUGAAAUAAAUACUUGCUAAUGAAAAUGAACAGAUUUACGAUCUAAUUUAUAUUUCAUUUUA